This 301-nucleotide ribosomal RNA is filed under the name uncultured bacterium. RNAcentral's name for it is "partial 16S ribosomal RNA". It matches the Rfam family "Bacterial small subunit ribosomal RNA", at positions 509 to 807 of the family's 1533-position model. The record is from RNAcentral.
CAGCCGCCGCGGGAAUACGAAGGGUGCAAGCGUUACUCGGAAUUACUGGGCGUAAAGCGUGCGUAGGUGGUGGUUUAAGUCCGUUGUGAAAGCCCUGGGCUCAACCUGGGAAUUGCAGUGGAUACUGGGUCACUAGAGUGUGGUAGAGGAUAGUGGAAUUUCCGGUGUAGCGGUGAAAUGCGUAGAGAUCGGGAGGAACAUCAGUGGCGAAGGCGGCCAACUGGGACAACACUGACGCUGAGGCACGAAAGCGUGGGGAGCAAACAGGAUUAGAUACCCCGGUAGUCCCUGUCUCUUAUAC